Molecule: transfer RNA, 71 nt
Filed under: Heterocephalus glaber (naked mole-rat)
Lineage: Eukaryota; Metazoa; Chordata; Mammalia; Rodentia; Bathyergidae
Rfam family: tRNA
About the family: Transfer RNA (tRNA) molecules are approximately 80 nucleotides in length. Their secondary structure includes four short double-helical elements and three loops (D, anti-codon, and T loops).
Source: Rfam by way of RNAcentral
AGUGGUGAGAUGCAGUUGUAGAGCAUGUGCUUAACAUGCACAAGGUCUGGGUUCAAUCCCCAGCACUUCUC